Molecule: ribosomal RNA, 484 nt
Filed under: uncultured bacterium
Lineage: Bacteria
Description: partial 16S ribosomal RNA
Rfam family: Bacterial small subunit ribosomal RNA
Source: RNAcentral
AGUGAACGCUGGCGGCGUGCUUAACACAUGCAAGUCGAACGAGAACGGAUUAUAGCUUGCUAUAAUUGUCAGCUAAGUGGCGCACGGGUGAGUAAUGUAUAGGUAAUAUGCCUCUUACUAAGGGAUAACAAAUGGAAACGCUUGCUAAUACCUUAUACUCCUUAUUAACAGAAGUUAAUAAGGGAAAGAUUUAUUGGUAAGAGAUUAGCCUGUAUUGUAUCAGUUAGUUGGUGGGGUAAUGGCUUACCAAGACUAUGACACAUAACUGGUUUGAGAGGAUGAUCAGUCACACUGGAACUGAGACACGGUCCAGACUCCUACGGGAGGCAGCAAUGGGGAAUAUUGCACAAUGGACGAAAGUCUGAUGCAGCAACGCCGCGUGGAGGAUGACACAUUUCGGUGCGUAAACUCCUUUUAUAUGAGAAGAUAAUGACGGUAUUAUAUGAAUAAGCACCGGCUAACUCCGUGCCAGCAGCCGCAGUAA